CCUACGGGUGGCAGCAGUAGGGAAUAUUGCUCAAUGGGGGAAACCCUGAAGCAGCAACGCCGCGUGGAGGAUGAAGGUUUUCUGAUUGUAAACUCCUUUUUUUAGAGAAGAUAAUGACGGUAUCUGACCAAUCAGCACCGGCUCCCUCCGUGCCAGCAGCCGCGGUACUACGGAGGGUGCAAGCGUUACUCGGAAUCACUGGGCGUAAAGCGCGCGUAGGCGGGAUAGCAAGUCAGAUGUGAAAUCCUAUGGCUUAACCAUAGAAUUGCAGUUGAAACUGUGAGUCUAGAGUAGGGGAGAGGUAGGUGGAAUGCUUGGUGUAGGGGUAAAAUGCGUAGAGAUCAAGAAGAAUACUCAUUGCGAAGGCGACCUGCUAGAACAUAACUGACGCUGAUGCGCGAAAGCGUGGGGAGCAAACAGGAUUAGAUACCCUUGUAGUC
Molecule: ribosomal RNA, 440 nt
Filed under: uncultured bacterium
Lineage: Bacteria
Description: partial 16S ribosomal RNA
Rfam family: Bacterial small subunit ribosomal RNA
Source: RNAcentral